AUGCAUGGCACGCGCUGGCUGGCUCGCUCAGUAGUACGGCUGGAGCUUCCAGCGCUGGUUGUCGCCCUCGCACCACUUCCAGAGCACGACCUCGGUGCCGUCGCGGACGCCGCCGUGGUACUUGUCGCCGUUGAGGGCGUCGAAGUUGAGGCGGGUGUUGUUGACCAUGCGGAUGCAGCGGAAACCCUUGCCCACGUCCUUGCUCUCCGUCCACAGCACCGACGCGUCCUCGUACGCCGGGUUGAACGGCACCAGCUUCACCUGCAACACCAUCCCCAAUCCACCACGCGCAUGUCAAGAACUCAAGAUCAAUCGAAUCGAAGCAAAAGACGGACGAUCUGA
RNAcentral lists this ribosomal RNA (342 nucleotides) under Triticum aestivum (bread wheat). RNAcentral's name for it is "partial small subunit ribosomal RNA". Lineage: Eukaryota; Viridiplantae; Streptophyta; Magnoliopsida; Poales; Poaceae. The record is from RNAcentral.